This 496-nucleotide ribosomal RNA is filed under the name uncultured bacterium. Its description in RNAcentral is "partial 16S ribosomal RNA". It matches the Rfam family "Bacterial small subunit ribosomal RNA", at positions 28 to 506 of the family's 1533-position model. The record is from RNAcentral.
GACGAACGCUGGCGGCGUGCCUAAUACAUGCAAGUAGAACGCUGAAGAGAGGAGCUUGCUCUUCUUGGAUGAGUUGCGAACGGGUGAGUAACGCGUAGGUAACCUGCCUUGUAGCGGGGGAUAACUAUUGGAAACGAUAGCUAAUACCGCAUAACAAUGGAUGACCCAUGUCAUUUAUUUGAAAGGGGCAAAUGCUCCACUACAAGAUGGACCUGCGUUGUAUUAGCUAGUAGGUGAGGUAACGGCUCACCUAGGCGACGAUACAUAGCCGACCUGAGAGGGUGAUCGGCCACACUGGGACUGAGACACGGCCCAGACUCCUACGGGAGGCAGCAGUAGGGAAUCUUCGGCAAUGGGGGCAACCCUGACCGAGCAACGCCGCGUGAGUGAAGAAGGUUUUCGGAUCGUAAAGCUCUGUUGUAAGUCAAGAACGAGUGUGAGAGUGGAAAGUUCACACUGUGACGGUAGCUUACCAGAAAGGGACGGCUAACUACGU